Rhodocollybia butyracea is the source of this 90-nucleotide non-coding RNA. The record is from the annotation of a GenBank genome assembly. Lineage: Eukaryota; Fungi; Basidiomycota; Agaricomycetes; Agaricales; Omphalotaceae.
GGGCAUAUGGUGUAGGGGUUAUCACGUUCGCUUUGCAUAGGUUUGGAAUGUGUCUGCGAAAGGUCUCCGGUUCAAAUCCGGAUUUGUCCA